This 451-nucleotide ribosomal RNA is filed under the name uncultured bacterium. Its description in RNAcentral is "bacterial SSU rRNA". It matches the Rfam family "Bacterial small subunit ribosomal RNA", at positions 28 to 475 of the family's 1533-position model. The record is from RNAcentral.
GAUGAACGCUGGCGGCGUGCUUAACACAUGCAAGUCGAACGAAGCACUUUAUUUGAUUUCCUUCGGGACUGAUUAUUUUGUGACUGAGUGGCGGACGGGUGAGUAACGCGUGGGUAACCUGCCUUGUACAGGGGGAUAACAGUUGGAAACGGCUGCUAAUACCGCAUAAGCGCACGGCAUCGCAUGAUGCAGUGUGAAAAACUCCGGUGGUAUAAGAUGGACCCGCGUUGGAUUAGCUAGUUGGUGGGGUAACGGCCCACCAAGGCGACGAUCCGUAGCCGACCUGAGAGGGUGACCGGCCACAUUGGGACUGAGACACGGCCCAAACUCCUACGGGAGGCAGCAGUAGGGAAUAUUGCACAAUGGGCGAAAGCCUGAUGCAGCGACGCCGCGUGAGCGAAGAAGUAUUUCGGUAUGUAAAGCUCUAUCAGCAGGGAAGAAGAAAUGACGG